This 447-nucleotide ribosomal RNA is filed under the name uncultured bacterium. RNAcentral's name for it is "partial 16S ribosomal RNA". It matches the Rfam family "Bacterial small subunit ribosomal RNA", at positions 29 to 523 of the family's 1533-position model. The record is from RNAcentral.
AACGAACGCUGGCGGCAGGCUUAACACAUGCAAGUCGAACGCCCCGCAAGGGGAGUGGCAGACGGGUGAGUAACGCGUGGGAAUCUACCUUUUGCUACGGGAUAGCUCCGGGAAACCGGAAUUAAUACCGUAUGUGCCCUUCGGGGGAAAGAUUUAUCGGCAAAGGAUGAGCCCGCAUUGGAUUAGCUAGUUGGUGGGGUAAAGGCCUACCAAGGCGACGAUCCAUAGCUGGUCUGAGAGGAUGAUCAGCCACAUUGGGACUGAGACACGGCCCAAACUCCUACGGGGGGCAGCAGUGGGGAAGAUUGGACCAUGGGCGCAGGCCUGAGCCAGCCAUGCCGCGUGAGUGAUGAAGGGCUUAGGAUUGUAAAGCUCUUUCACCGGGGACGAUAAUGACGGUACCCGGAGAAGAAGCCCCGGCUAACUGCGUGCCAGCCGCCGCGGUAA